Molecule: ribosomal RNA, 303 nt
Filed under: Hoplias malabaricus (trahira)
Lineage: Eukaryota; Metazoa; Chordata; Actinopteri; Characiformes; Erythrinidae
Description: partial small subunit ribosomal RNA
Source: RNAcentral
CGUCGUAAGCUUACCCUAUGAAGGUCCUACAGUAAGCAAAAUGGGCAAAACCCAAAACGUCAGGUCGAGGUGUAGCUUAUGGAGUGGAAAGAAAUGGGCUACAUUUCCUUCACUAAAGGACAUUACGAACGACUUCAUGAAACUGAAGCCCCAAGGUGGAUUUAGCAGUAAACAUUAACAGAGUAUUAUUUUGAAGCCGGCUCUGAAACGCGCACACACCGCCCGUCACUCUCCCCAUUUAUUAACUUAACCCAAGUAAUUAACUAAAUACAUAAACCAGCGGGGAGGCAAGUCGUAACAUGG